RNAcentral lists this ribosomal RNA (151 nucleotides) under Amanita fulva. Its description in RNAcentral is "partial 28S ribosomal RNA". It matches the Rfam family "Eukaryotic large subunit ribosomal RNA", at positions 1 to 150 of the family's 3401-position model. The record is from RNAcentral. Lineage: Eukaryota; Fungi; Basidiomycota; Agaricomycetes; Agaricales; Amanitaceae.
UUUGACCUCAAAUCAGGUAGGACUACCCGCUGAACUUAAGCAUAUCAAUAAGCGGAGGAAAAGAAACUAACAAGGAUUCCCCUAGUAACUGCGAGUGAAGCGGGAAAAGCUCAAAUUUGAAAUCUGGCAGUCUAUUUUUUCUUCUUUGGCU